Molecule: unclassified non-coding RNA, 367 nt
Filed under: Hevea brasiliensis (rubber tree)
Lineage: Eukaryota; Viridiplantae; Streptophyta; Magnoliopsida; Malpighiales; Euphorbiaceae
Source: RNAcentral
GGUCCAGGCCAUGCCAGGAGAGCAACCGAAGAGGGAAAGAACAAUAAGCCAAGACAUGAAAACCAUGAGCAUAUAGGUAGUCCACACACCAGGGUACGUGAACCACUCGGUGUUCCUAUUCAAAUCCGUCGGUGGCACCGCUUUCACAUACAUUCUAUGUAUCGGUGACGAUAAAAAUGCGAACUUCUCACAGAGAAAGAAAUUACGAUUUCCCAGAAACAGGAAGGAUGACCCAGUAAAAGAUUAAGAUCAGAUAUGACGAUUUCUGGUCUCUCUCUUUAGCUUCUCGGGUCGUGAGGUUGCAGAAUGCGAAAGAGAGGAAAGAAAGAGAGACCUUUCAAAGUGGGUAUUAUGGGCAGGGUUUGAG